UCUUCCAGCCUCCAUCAUCUUCGUAGGAGUACACCAUACAUUCUGAGCCCUAAUCUUCCAGCCUCCAUCAUCAUGGAAUAACCUAAUUCCCUCAUUCUUCUCAUUCAAGCGGCUUACAGGAUACGUUUCUUUUACAAAACACUAUCAUCCGCAAUUAUCUAUCUCCUUCUUGGUAUGGUUGUAAAUGGAUUAAAUGGUUUGUUGAUAUUCGAAUCAUCUUUGUUGUUACCAAUCAUGUUUUUACGGAUUAGGGUUUUGUUUAUCUUCUUCUCACUGUGGCAGCCUAUGUAG
RNAcentral lists this long non-coding RNA (291 nucleotides) under Helianthus annuus (common sunflower). RNAcentral's name for it is "sRNA HanXRQr2_Chr09g0369851". The record is from RNAcentral. Lineage: Eukaryota; Viridiplantae; Streptophyta; Magnoliopsida; Asterales; Asteraceae.